CAACUCUGUCCCGGGAGAGAGCAGCCUUCGAGGCUGCCGCCGAAGGCGCAACCGCCCCGGAAACGCUCAGGCAAAAGGACCGGACAGGGUCA
This is a non-coding RNA of Hyphomonas sp. BRH_c22, 92 nucleotides long. Lineage: Bacteria; Pseudomonadati; Pseudomonadota; Alphaproteobacteria; Hyphomonadales; Hyphomonadaceae. The record is from Rfam.